UGAGGAAGAUGCUCUAUAAUCUGGACAUAAGAGUGAGGAAGAUGCUCUAUAAUCUGGAUGUUAGAGGAGGAAGAUGCUCUAUAAUCUGGAUGUUAGAGGAGGAAGAUGCUCUAUAAUCUGCCAGUCAUAGGAUUGUUCCGUCACCUGGAAGUGAAGCGUGUGGACACGGGCCCUCAGGUAUAAACUUGUGUAAAUGUAGAAACAAAAUGGUACAAAACUCUCGUUGUCGUGCGCCUAGCGUCGUCAUUAGCAUGUUAGCAUCAGAUUUCACUCCAAGCCACCGUCAGAGUUUCCUCUAAAGACUUUUAUAUCCUUCCAGUUGCUCUCGAGAUUAAACAGACAAAACCAAACAUUUGGAAAAUGUAAGAAAUUCAUUGUUUAUCCUAAACAAAGUGUGCACUUUGCGUCUCGGUAGCUAGCAGAGCAGAUUUAGCCAUCAGUCCCCUCCUGUGGACACUCGCUAGGUGUUUCAUUUCUCUCAGUAUUUUGCACUCUGUUGAUUCUGUUACUUUCAUGCGUUGAUUUUCCUUCAUGUCAACCAACUGGUCGUUCUUUUAGCAAUACUGGAUAGAUGAUGCCUUAAUGAUGCUAGAUUUCCAGAGGCUCGGACUCUCUGCUCCUCUUUCUUUCGUAGGUUUUUUUAUCUCGGGAAGCUGGAGGGAUUUCUCCCCUCUGAAGGCCCGUUUCUACCUUUUUGAUAGCUGACUGAUGAUUUCAACCGUUGAAUCGUGUGAAUAAGCGUCAUAGUGGUAACUGAAGUGUCCGACCAUUUUUUCCUAUUGUACUUUUUGUGUUGGGAUUCAAUGUUCUUUUGUUGUUGGUGCUACAGAGAAGUGAAAACGAGGACUUGUAGAAAACCAGAGACUGAAUCCAGAGGCGGCAGCCAGCGCGUCCAUCUCCUCCACCCGGGUGCGCGGAGCUUCGUUUUCUCCUCUCACUUCUCACAUAUUUACUCUCCUGCUCACGAUCCUCCCAAAACAUGUGAUACCCGGCGUGCUGCCGGCGUCCGAACGCCGAACAGAAGCUCCUCUCUGAACCAGUGCCUGUCUUCCAAACCUCUGUUUCUCCUCUUCUGUCCGAACGAACGCCGCCGAUUGACAGCUGUUGUCUGAAGGCACCCGGCUGCCGUUCUGCUGUUUUCACCCACGUUUUCAGACACACAUACACACUCUUCUGCCAGCAUCGGGACCAGUUUGUUGUGUUUCUUCCUUGACUCCUGAUUGGUCAGAUCCUGAAUGUACUUGGAAACGAUCGCUGCGGUUCUGGGUAAAGCAGCGUGUUUCUUUAUGAGUAGACAAUCACAGCAGAUUCAAAUCCUAAUAUGACUGUCCUGUUGGCAUCUCCAGAACUUCCAAGACUCCCAGAUAUUUCCAGAAAACUCAGAAGCUAUUGGGAAACAGAGAAAUAGAGUGUUGAGCAACCCCGGUGACGUGGUGUCACCAAAACCAAAACCUGAAGGAGUCCAGUCCGUCUCCUCCAGCCCACAGCAGAAGCUGAAGUGUGUGUGUGUGUCUCUCAUUUACCUGUCCUGUUUCCCGACGGCACUGUUCACUGAGGAGCUGUUUGGGUCGUACUGCUGGACCUGCAUGAGCAGCUUGUCCUGUCGGCAGCUCAUGUAGACGCCAGAAAGGAACCGAGAGCAGCUCGCUGAUUUAAACUGUAGCAAAGACGAAAGGAGAAUGUCCAAAAUGUUGAUGAAGACAUGAGCCCAUGAGACUCUGGGUCAGAGGUCUGAGUUUCAGGGUCGCAGGUCUGACCUGCAGAGUCUGAGCUUUGACCUUGAGCAUCUGAGGUUUGACCUCCAAGGUCGGUAGUUUGACCUUCAGGCUCUGAGGGAUGACCUUCAGAGUUUGAUGCCUGACCUUCAGUCUAAGGUUUGACCAUGAGAGUCAGAGCUUUGACCUUCAGGGUCUGAGGUUUGACCUUCAGAGUCUGAAGUUUGACCUUGAAAAUCUGAGGUUUGACCUUCAGAGUCUGAAGUUUGACCUUGAAAAUCUGAGGUUUGACCUUCAGAGUCUGAAGUUUGACCUUAAAAAUCUGAGGUUUGACCUUCAGAGAGAGGUUUGACCUUCAGAGUUUGAAGUUUGACCUUGAAAAUCUGAGGUUUGACCUUCAGAGUCUGAAGUUUGACCUUCAGAGACGGGUUUGACGUUCAGAGUCUGAAUUUUGACCUUGAAAAUCUGAGGUUUGACCUUGAGAGUCUGAGGUAUGACCUUGAAAAUCUGAGGUUUGACCUUCAGAGUCUGAGGUUUGACCUUCAGAGACAGGUUUGACGUUCAGAGUCUGAAUUUUGACCUUAUAAAUCUGAGGUUUGACCUUGAGAGUCUGAGGUAUGACCUUGAAAAUCUGAGGUUUGACCUUCAGAGUCUGAAGUUUGACCUUGAAAAUCUGAGGUUUGACCUUCAGAGUCUGAGGUUUGACCUUCAGAGACGGGUUUGACGUUCAGAGUCUGAAUUUUGACCUUGAAAAUCUGAGGUUUGACCUUCAGGGUCAGAGGUUUGACCUUGAGAAUCUGAGGUGUAACCUCCAGAUUGUGAUCCGAUUGGCUGAAGAGGCACGAAGCAUUUCUGAAGUGGUUUCUUUCCCAUGUUGCACUGGGGCGCUUUGGGCCCGCCUGUAAAUCCUUUUUAGUACCUUUUUUUAAAUUUAGUUUGAAUACGAGUUGUAUACUUUAAUAUGUUUGUGUAAAGACACAUCCGUUCCUUUAAGCUUUGAACUUUCCCUGUUCUGAAUGUCGUACUGUGGAUCUGUUUCUGUAUCGCAGCGUUGACGCUCCGAAUGAGUCGGACGGACGGCGAAGUUCACUAUCGGGAUAUGAAUUGCAUGAAAUGCAGUGACGUCUCUCAAAUGUGUUGCUAAAUACCAAGUAAUAACUAUGCAUCAUUUUAAAUGCAUUGUUCCCUGGAAAAAGAA
This is a long non-coding RNA of Salarias fasciatus (jewelled blenny), 2913 nucleotides long. RefSeq lists it as uncharacterized. The transcript has 2 exons. The record is from RefSeq and is a predicted model, not a curated record. Lineage: Eukaryota; Metazoa; Chordata; Actinopteri; Blenniiformes; Blenniidae.